UACGAAGGGGGCUAGCGUUGUUCGGAAUUACUGGGCGUAAAGCGCGCGCAGGCGGUUCUUUAAGUCAGGGGUGAAAGCCCAGAGCUCAACUCUGGAAUUGCCUUUGAAACUAGAGAACUUGGGUACGGGAGAGGUGAGUGGAAUUCCGAGUGUAGAGGUGAAAUUCGUAGAUAUUCGGAAGAACACCAGUGGCGAAGGCGGCUCACUGGCCCGUUACCGACGCUCAGGCGCGACAGCGUGGGGAGCGAACAGG
This 253-nucleotide ribosomal RNA is filed under the name uncultured bacterium. RNAcentral describes it as "partial 16S ribosomal RNA". It matches the Rfam family "Bacterial small subunit ribosomal RNA", at positions 524 to 776 of the family's 1533-position model. The record is from RNAcentral.